RNAcentral lists this ribosomal RNA (254 nucleotides) under uncultured bacterium. RNAcentral's name for it is "partial 16S ribosomal RNA". It matches the Rfam family "Bacterial small subunit ribosomal RNA", at positions 524 to 776 of the family's 1533-position model. The record is from RNAcentral.
UACGUAGGGGGCAAGCGUUGUCCGGAUUUAUUGGGCGUAAAGCGCGUGUAGGCGGAUUUUCAAGCCUGAGGUGAAAGGUUGGGGCUCAACCCCACACAGUGCCUUGGGGACUGAAAGUCUGGAGGCCGGCAGAGGAGAGUGGAAUUCCUGGUGUAGCGGGUGGAAUGCGUAGAGAUCAGGAAGAACACCCAUGGCGAAGGCAGCUCUCUGGGCCGGUACUGACGCUGAGACGCGAAAGCGUGGGAGCGAACGGG